UAGGGAAUCUUCCGCAAUGGACGAAAGUCUGACGGAGCAACGCCGCGUGAGUGAAGAAGGAUUUCGGUUCGUAAAACUCUGUUGUUAGGGAAGAAAAAAUGUAUAGUAACUAUAUACAAAAGAGACGGUACCUAACCAGAAAGCCAUGGCUAACUACGUGCCAGCAGCCGCGGUAAUACGUAGGUGGCAAGCGUUGUCCGGAAUUAUUGGGCGUAAAGCGCGCGCAGGUGGUUUAGAAAGUCUGAUGUGAAAGCCCACGGCUCAACCGUGGAGGGUCAUUGGAAACUAAUAAACUUGAGUGCAGGAGAGAAAAGUGGAAUUCCUAGUGUAGCGGUGAAAUGCGUAGAGAUUAGGAGGAACACCGGUGGCGAAAGCGGCUUUUUGGCCUGCAACUGACACUGAGGCGCGAAAGCGUGGGGAGCAAACAGG
RNAcentral lists this ribosomal RNA (429 nucleotides) under Verrucomicrobiota bacterium. Its description in RNAcentral is "Verrucomicrobia bacterium partial 16S ribosomal RNA". It matches the Rfam family "Bacterial small subunit ribosomal RNA", at positions 355 to 776 of the family's 1533-position model. Lineage: Bacteria; Pseudomonadati; Verrucomicrobiota. The record is from RNAcentral.